GAAAAUUAAUUAAUUAACUUUACUUACAAAUCCACCUUCAAUCUUAGGGUAACCUAAGUAAUCCGUAUAAAUAAAAUUAUUGUAACCCAUUAGUACUUAAUCAUAAGCUUCACCUUGACCUGACAUUUAUGUAUUUAACAAUUAAGAAAAUUAAUUCUAGAAAAAAAUUCUUAUGACGGAGGUAUAAAAACUGAAAACAAGAUCAAGUAAAUAAAAUCGUGGAUUAUCGAUUAAACAACAGGUUCCUCUGAAAAGAAUAAAAUACCGCCAAAUUCUUUGGGUUUCAAGAACAUAACUAAUACUACCCAAGUAAAAAAUUAACACCUAUU
This 329-nucleotide ribosomal RNA is filed under the name Ischnura capreola. Its description in RNAcentral is "partial 12S ribosomal RNA". The record is from RNAcentral. Lineage: Eukaryota; Metazoa; Arthropoda; Insecta; Odonata; Coenagrionidae.